RNAcentral lists this long non-coding RNA (442 nucleotides) under Mustela putorius furo (domestic ferret). Its description in RNAcentral is "lncRNA (ENSMPUG00000028714.1)". Lineage: Eukaryota; Metazoa; Chordata; Mammalia; Carnivora; Mustelidae. The record is from RNAcentral.
CGUAGCUAUACGGCAGAGGAUGGUUCCACCCCUGGAAGGCUGGAGGACUGAUGCACGCUGCAGCAGCGACAGACCCCAAACGUCUUGGGCUGUGGGACGGAAGCCUGACACAAAAGGUCACACGGUCUCUGACCCCAUUUGUGUGCCAUGUCCACGGGAGUUGGUAGAUGAGAAAAAUGGACGGAGCAGGUCUCACCAUGAGAAGGAAGGAGGGACUUACUCCCCAGAUGGCUGGGAGCUGCUCAUAAAGAGGGCCUGGGUUGUCAGCACUGCCCCCCCCACCAUCACAAGGCACCUCACCCACAGUCGUACCCCAUCCCUGGGUGGCCACACCUGAUGCCUGACUGACUAGGAAAGAGGAGGAAGGGGUGGUUUUCAGGCCCCACCCCCUUUGCCCCUGUGGGGCCACCCAGCCUCAGAGUGCAGAACUGUCUGCCCAGAC